UUCAAGAGCAUGUAAAAGUGUGGCAGUUGGCACCACAGCUACAAUAGCUUCUCUGGCAUUCACUUCAACACCUGUAAAGUCACUGCCUGCAAGAUCUUGAAGAUCUUUCAUCUGUAGCCACAGAUCAACCAGACUCAACUUAUGAUCCUGCCCAGUCCAUUACAGCUAAAUCAGUGUCUCAACUUUUCACGCCUUCAUCGUCAUCAUAUGAGGAUGCCAAGUAUAUGGUGUUUGAAGAGUGCCUCUUAAGCCUUUUUGAAUCCCUGCCCUGUAUGCACGAGAGUUUGCAAGGUACAAAAACACAGACGAGGGACCUUCAUUUCUGUUACGCAAUGCUGUCCUCAUUGCAAAUUCUACAGGCAGUGGAGUAGUCAACCAGUUAUCGGCAGCAUUCCUGUGGGCAACCUACAGUUGUCAGCUGCCAUCUACUUUAGUGGAGCUUCCUUUCGGAAGAUGAAAAAGAUGUUUGAAAUACUGAAACUCAGAACACAUACUUAUGACGCAUUCAGAUGGCAUGCCAGAACGUACCUUGAACCUGCCAUAAUCCACACAUGGAAUAAGUGGCAAGAGGCGGCAUUCGACUGCCUGAUCCAGAAUGGUGAAGUCAUACUCGGUGGCGAUAUGCGCGCAGAC
Molecule: non-coding RNA, 633 nt
Organism: Misgurnus anguillicaudatus (oriental weatherfish)
Lineage: Eukaryota; Metazoa; Chordata; Actinopteri; Cypriniformes; Cobitidae
Source: RefSeq, a predicted model, not a curated record